RNAcentral lists this ribosomal RNA (369 nucleotides) under uncultured organism. RNAcentral's name for it is "bacterial SSU rRNA". It matches the Rfam family "Bacterial small subunit ribosomal RNA", at positions 526 to 896 of the family's 1533-position model. The record is from RNAcentral.
CGGAGGGUGCAAGCGUUAUCCGGAUUCACUGGGUUUAAAGGGUGCGUAGGUGGGUUGGUAAGUCCGUGGUGAAAUCUCCAAGCUUAACUUGGAAACUGCCGUGGAUACUAUCAAUCUUGAAUCUCGUGGAGGUAAGCGGAAUAUGUCAUGUAGCGGUGAAAUGCUUAGAUAUGACAUAGAACACCGAUAGCGAAGGCAGCUUGCUACACGAGUAUUGACACUGAGGCACGAAAGCGUGGGGAGUCAAACAGGAUUAGAUACCCUGGUAGUCCACGCCCUAAACGAUGGACACUCGACAUACGCGAUACACAGUGUGUGUCUGAGCGAAAGCAUUAAGUAUCCCACCUGGGAAGUACGACCGCAAGGUUG